Molecule: ribosomal RNA, 458 nt
Filed under: uncultured bacterium
Lineage: Bacteria
Description: partial 16S ribosomal RNA
Rfam family: Bacterial small subunit ribosomal RNA
Source: RNAcentral
CUACGGGUGGCAGCAGUGAGGAAUAUUGGUCAAUGGUCGGGAGACUGAACCAGCCAAGCCGCGUGAGGGAUGAAGGUACAGAGUAUCGUAAACCUCUUUUGUCAGGGAACAAAGGCGGGGACGUGUCCCCGGAUGAGUGUACCUGAAGAAAAAGCAUCGGCUAACUCCGUGCCAGCAGCCGCGGUAAUACGGAGGAUGCGAGCGUUAUCCGGAUUUAUUGGGUUUAAAGGGUGCGCAGGCGGUGUGUUAAGUCAGCGGGAAAGGCCGGGGGCUCAACCCCGUACCGCCGUUGAAACUGGCAGGCUCGAGUUGGAGAGAGGUAUGCGGAAUGCGCGGUGUAGCGGUGAAAUGCAUAGAUAUCGCGCAGAACUCCGGUUGCGAAGGCAGCAUGCCGGCUCCACACUGACGCAGGGGCACGAAGGCGUGGGUAUCGAACAGGAUUAGAUACCCGUGUAGUC